UUUCAUAGUUAUCAUCGUAUCCUUUCUUUAUGCCAUUAGACACCAAGGAAGAAAGUCUACAAGAAAACAUAUGGCAAAUAAAAAUCAGUGCAUGGAAACACAAAAGGGUCUUCCUCCUGCUCUCUGUCUGAAUUCAGAUGUGCUGACCUCUGUUUUAUACCGUGCUUAACAGUCGUUAUUGUUGUAAAGAGCACAUUAGCGACUGUAAUACUUCAGAAAUUCAGUUCAUAUAUUGUAGUUUGCUUUGAAAUAGUAAUAUG
This is a long non-coding RNA of Puntigrus tetrazona (Sumatra barb), 260 nucleotides long. RefSeq lists it as uncharacterized. The record is from RefSeq and is a predicted model, not a curated record. Lineage: Eukaryota; Metazoa; Chordata; Actinopteri; Cypriniformes; Cyprinidae. The transcript is spliced from 3 exons.